Long non-coding RNA from Triticum aestivum (bread wheat), 1277 nucleotides. RefSeq lists it as uncharacterized. The record is from RefSeq and is a predicted model, not a curated record. The transcript is spliced from 3 exons. NCBI's taxonomy places the organism in Eukaryota, Viridiplantae, Streptophyta, Magnoliopsida, Poales, Poaceae.
UAGUCAAUCGCGGAAAAAAAAUCCAGCCCCCACGAUCUUAUCCCGCAUCCAGCAACUGCUCCACCCCCGUAUUCUCUUUCAGUUUCUCUUUCUCCCAUCCCCAGAUCAGAGCUCCUCCGAUCCACCCGCCCCCUUCUCAUCGGCGGGAUCCCCGCUGCUGCCUCACGCACGACCCUCUCCUCCGCGGUCCAGUCCGCUCGAACACCGCCGCCCUCCUCACUGGCGGGAUCCGAGCCGCCAGCCUCACCCGCGGGAUCGGAGCCGCCGGCCACCGCCCACCUCGCCUGAAGGAUAGGAUGCCACUACUCUUCUACACCGUCCACCGGUGGCCCAUCACCUGCUUCACCUGACUGAAAAAUCCUUGCGGUGUUUCGAAGAAGCUGUGGUGGAAAUUCCGGAACCGCUGCGCCGACGGUGGUGUGAUGCCGGCGAUGGGUCCGCUGGCAAUUCAGUAUGCGAGGAUGUCGCUGCCAACUCGAGGUGUGUUCAUAGGAUGAUUCAUAUCAUGCUUGAAAAUGCGCAAUUCUGCCUGCUAAAUCUGGAUAACCAUGAGCUGAUUAUUCCAAAUGAAUGCUAAUUUUGACCCUGCUGGCCUCACGAUUGGUUCCAAAUUUAUUUGUGAGGUUGUAUGCCAGGGGUAUUAGAUCAUAGAAUUUGCUAUUUCUAUGAUUUGUAUCCUGCCUCUCCACUGUACCAUGUAGGUAACUUGUGUUAUUUUACUCCUUGGUUUUACAGCAAAAAAUAGAAUAUAUAUCAAUCUUGUAAAGGAUGUUUGGGAUGUUUUCAGGGAAAUGAUUUGGUGAAAUAUUGAUUGCGAGGGUUUGGAACCAAGUAACUAAAAAACAAUUGGAGCAAAGAGGCAGUGAAUGGAACUCUAGAUACUCAGCUUUUGACUCUCACUCGAAAAGUUCAAAAUAAUAAUCUGGCAGUGUCAUCUGCUUUGAGUAGCUCAGGAUGGGUGGUUAGAAGAGAUCGAAGGGAAGGCGCAAGAACAUGAUAAGAUGCAUGUUGCACAACAAGAGAUGAUAAAGGAGCUGAUAAGAUUAUCAGUUUUUAUUGGUGGCUGUUAGAAGCUGUAGACAAGAUGAUGCAUUUUUAUUAGAUUCAAGUGAGAUUAUUCAGAUUAGCAUAAAAAGUGCAGAGGAUCGUGCAAAGCUUUGUUAUCAUUUGAUUAUUUCACUAUAUAUUUUGUUCAGUUUCGAUGUAAGCAUCAGGCCUUAACAGGAAAUUCAAUUUGAUGUACUUGGCCAUGAUCAACGAACACAAAUAUUACAGAA